This 1509-nucleotide long non-coding RNA is filed under the name Homo sapiens (human). RNAcentral's name for it is "non-protein coding lnc-STN1-1:2". Lineage: Eukaryota; Metazoa; Chordata; Mammalia; Primates; Hominidae. The record is from RNAcentral.
CAGAAGUCACACCCCCAGGGAGCAGCCUCAGCCAACAGCACCUUGGCUGUAAAUGCCCCAGCUCCCUCGCCCUCAGGUAAGCAUUGCUGAGGCACACGUUCCAUACUCUUUUCCACAGUUCCUCCGUGGGACUGAGCACCACCCAGCCACCCACAGGAGCAGCUAACCUGAUAACCACCAGCCUCACCCUCCCUGCCUUACUUCCCCGCUCCCCUUUACCACAUGCUGACCUCCCAGAUGCAUUUCUUGCUUUCCGGUCUCUGUCUCAGGAUUGGCUCCUGGAUGAACACAAACUAACACUAUGUUCACAAAUAUAUUUGGGAAAUGCUGGAUGAAUAAUUAUACACAUCAGACAGAUUACUAGAAAUUCUCACCAAAGGGAUGCACAUGUUACCUCUGCAUGGUGAGAUCUCAGGUGCUUUUUACCCCACAUAGCUAUCCUUUGGCAUUUUUAUAAUUAGCAAGUGCUCACUCUUCCACUGUCAGUACAUUCUCAUUCUUCUUGGGCGCUGGACAAGAAUUCAACCGGUGUGUAAGCCAGACUCGGCCCGGGCAGUCUCAAACUCCUGACUCCUUAUAUAAUUUCUACAAAAAUUAUAAAGCUAUUUCCCACUCCCCACCCCACAUUCAUGUAACCUGAAGCAUGAGUAAACCAAGAAUGAGGUAGGCCUCUGUCUUCUAAGCAACAUCAGAACUCUAAGAACAUGAGGGACUCUUAGAAAACUCUCUGGAGCUAACCACAGCUGGGUCACUGCUCAUGUACUGAAGACCAGCCAGAGGGUUCCCCUGAAAAGGAGGGAAACUGAGCAAACAUUCUCCAGUUCUCUUAGUGUGCACAUGUUUCAGGAGGUGUGAACCCCACAUGUAGCUUGUGUAGGCAAGAAGACAAAUAGUGCUACUGUCUGGUCAAGGAUUUGUUUGAAGAGCCAUGAUUAUGCCCAUAUGGUAAGCCACCAGUGCUCCCCAUCCCUGUAAGACACUUCUUUCUCAUUAUUUUCUCCUCUGAUGGUGUGCCAGGAUGCUGGCCAAGAGAAGCCAAGUGGAAAGAAGGCUGUUCAGUGACAAGGAACCUAAGACUUAGUGCCAAGGACUGAAACCAAGUAAACUUGUAAUUUUCCAUGAUGGAAACAUCUACACUUUCUCAUUAGUGGCCUCUACAGCAGUUGCCCCAAAGAAGCGUCUCAUUGUUUUUUUACUACAUUUAUGUGAAGCAUACAGGCAAACUCAGAAAGACUGUGAUAAGGCUCGCCAGAGAUGCCUGCACAGGUGCUGGGGGAAAAGCAGGACCAUCCUGAAGGGAGAUGGUGUCUGUGGACAAAGAACUCUGCAGUGGUUCUUAUUUGCAUGAUUUCUGCUGGUGGAGGCUGUAAAUGUGAGCUCAAACUCCCACAUAAGUGAGUUUUCAUUGUAAUCCAGAAUGUUUUUAAAUCACCCUACUUCUAUUGAACUUGCACUAUCAUCUGUUAACCUCUACUGUAUUUAUUAAAUAAACCUGAAUAGGUAAAUCAC